Molecule: ribosomal RNA, 483 nt
Filed under: uncultured bacterium
Lineage: Bacteria
Description: partial 16S ribosomal RNA
Rfam family: Bacterial small subunit ribosomal RNA
Source: RNAcentral
GACGAACCCUGGCGGCGUGCUUAACCCAUGCAAGUCGAACGCUGAAGCUCAGCUUUUGUUGGGUGGCUGAGUGGCGAACGGGUGAGUAACACGUGAGUAACGUGCCCCCUGCUUUGGGAUAACGCCCGGAAACGGGUGCUCAUACUGGAUCUUAACUUGUCUUCGCAUUGGGGUUGGUGGAAGGAGUUUUUCAGGCGGGAGAUGGGCUCGCGGCCUAUCGGCUUGUUGGGGGUGUGAUGGCCUACCACAGCGUUCACGGGUUGCCGGCCAGAGAGGGUGCCCGGUCACAUUGGGACUGAGAUACGGCACAGACUCGUACGGGAGGCAGCAGUGGGGAAUAUUGCGCAAUGGGGGCAAGCCUGAUGCAGCGACGCCGCGUGAGGGAUGGAGGCCUUCGGGUUGUGAACCUCUUUCGCUCAUGGUCAAGCCGCAACAAUGGUUGUGGUGAGGGUAGUGGGUAAAGAAGCGCCGGCUAACUACGUG